UACCAGCUCUUCGAGUGGUGUGGAUGUUUAUUGGGCCUAAAGCAUCCGUAGCUGGCUGGGCAAGUCCCCUGUUAAAUCCACCGAUUUAAUCGUUGGAGUGCGGGGGAUACUGUUCGGCUAGGGGACGGGAGAGGCAGACGGUAUUUUCGGGGUAGGGGUGAAAUCCUAUAACCCCGGGAAGACCACCAGUGGCGAAGGCUGUCUGCUAGAACGCGCCCGACGGUGAGGGAUGAAAGCUGGGGGAGCGAACCGGAUUAGAUACCCGGGUAGUCCCAGCUGUAAACGAUGCAGGCUAGGUGUUUGGGCGGCCACGUGCCGCUCUAGUGCCGCAGGGAAGCCGUUAAGCCUGCCGCCUGGGGAGUACGAUCGCAAGAUUGAAACUUAAAGGAAUUGGUGGGGGAGCACCACAAGGGGUGAAGCUUGCGGUUU
Molecule: ribosomal RNA, 429 nt
Filed under: uncultured archaeon
Lineage: Archaea
Description: bacterial SSU rRNA
Rfam family: Archaeal small subunit ribosomal RNA
Source: RNAcentral